RNAcentral lists this ribosomal RNA (2902 nucleotides) under Escherichia coli. RNAcentral's name for it is "bacterial LSU rRNA". It matches the Rfam family "Bacterial large subunit ribosomal RNA". Lineage: Bacteria; Pseudomonadati; Pseudomonadota; Gammaproteobacteria; Enterobacterales; Enterobacteriaceae. The record is from RNAcentral.
GUUAAGCGACUAAGCGUACACGGUGGAUGCCCUGGCAGUCAGAGGCGAUGAAGGACGUGCUAAUCUGCGAUAAGCGUCGGUAAGGUGAUAUGAACCGUUAUAACCGGCGAUUUCCGAAUGGGGAAACCCAGUGUGAUUCGUCACACUAUCAUUAACUGAAUCCAUAGGUUAAUGAGGCGAACCGGGGGAACUGAAACAUCUAAGUACCCCGAGGAAAAGAAAUCAACCGAGAUUCCCCCAGUAGCGGCGAGCGAACGGGGAGCAGCCCAGAGCCUGAAUCAGUGUGUGUGUUAGUGGAAGCGUCUGGAAAGGCGCGCGAUACAGGGUGACAGCCCCGUACACAAAAAUGCACAUGCUGUGAGCUCGAUGAGUAGGGCGGGACACGUGGUAUCCUGUCUGAAUAUGGGGGGACCAUCCUCCAAGGCUAAAUACUCCUGACUGACCGAUAGUGAACCAGUACCGUGAGGGAAAGGCGAAAAGAACCCCGGCGAGGGGAGUGAAAAAGAACCUGAAACCGUGUACGUACAAGCAGUGGGAGCACGCUUAGGCGUGUGACUGCGUACCUUUUGUAUAAUGGGUCAGCGACUUAUAUUCUGUAGCAAGGUUAACCGAAUAGGGGAGCCGAAGGGAAACCGAGUCUUAACUGGGCGUUAAGUUGCAGGGUAUAGACCCGAAACCCGGUGAUCUAGCCAUGGGCAGGUUGAAGGUUGGGUAACACUAACUGGAGGACCGAACCGACUAAUGUUGAAAAAUUAGCGGAUGACUUGUGGCUGGGGGUGAAAGGCCAAUCAAACCGGGAGAUAGCUGGUUCUCCCCGAAAGCUAUUUAGGUAGCGCCUCGUGAACUCAUCUCCGGGGGUAGAGCACUGUUUCGGCAAGGGGGUCAUCCCGACUUACCAACCCGAUGCAAACUGCGAAUACCGGAGAAUGUUAUCACGGGAGACACACGGCGGGUGCUAACGUCCGUCGUGAAGAGGGAAACAACCCAGACCGCCAGCUAAGGUCCCAAAGUCAUGGUUAAGUGGGAAACGAUGUGGGAAGGCCCAGACAGCCAGGAUGUUGGCUUAGAAGCAGCCAUCAUUUAAAGAAAGCGUAAUAGCUCACUGGUCGAGUCGGCCUGCGCGGAAGAUGUAACGGGGCUAAACCAUGCACCGAAGCUGCGGCAGCGACGCUUAUGCGUUGUUGGGUAGGGGAGCGUUCUGUAAGCCUGUGAAGGUGUGCUGUGAGGCAUGCUGGAGGUAUCAGAAGUGCGAAUGCUGACAUAAGUAACGAUAAAGCGGGUGAAAAGCCCGCUCGCCGGAAGACCAAGGGUUCCUGUCCAACGUUAAUCGGGGCAGGGUGAGUCGACCCCUAAGGCGAGGCCGAAAGGCGUAGUCGAUGGGAAACAGGUUAAUAUUCCUGUACUUGGUGUUACUGCGAAGGGGGGACGGAGAAGGCUAUGUUGGCCGGGCGACGGUUGUCCCGGUUUAAGCGUGUAGGCUGGUUUUCCAGGCAAAUCCGGAAAAUCAAGGCUGAGGCGUGAUGACGAGGCACUACGGUGCUGAAGCAACAAAUGCCCUGCUUCCAGGAAAAGCCUCUAAGCAUCAGGUAACAUCAAAUCGUACCCCAAACCGACACAGGUGGUCAGGUAGAGAAUACCAAGGCGCUUGAGAGAACUCGGGUGAAGGAACUAGGCAAAAUGGUGCCGUAACUUCGGGAGAAGGCACGCUGAUAUGUAGGUGAAGUCCCUCGCGGAUGGAGCUGAAAUCAGUCGAAGAUACCAGCUGGCUGCAACUGUUUAUUAAAAACACAGCACUGUGCAAACACGAAAGUGGACGUAUACGGUGUGACGCCUGCCCGGUGCCGGAAGGUUAAUUGAUGGGGUCAGCGCAAGCGAAGCUCUUGAUCGAAGCCCCGGUAAACGGCGGCCGUAACUAUAACGGUCCUAAGGUAGCGAAAUUCCUUGUCGGGUAAGUUCCGACCUGCACGAAUGGCGUAAUGAUGGCCAGGCUGUCUCCACCCGAGACUCAGUGAAAUUGAACUCGCUGUGAAGAUGCAGUGUACCCGCGGCAAGACGGAAAGACCCCGUGAACCUUUACUAUAGCUUGACACUGAACAUUGAGCCUUGAUGUGUAGGAUAGGUGGGAGGCUUAGAAGUGUGGACGCCAGUCUGCAUGGAGCCGACCUUGAAAUACCACCCUUUAAUGUUUGAUGUUCUAACGUUGACCCGUAAUCCGGGUUGCGGACAGUGUCUGGUGGGUAGUUUGACUGGGGCGGUCUCCUCCUAAAGAGUAACGGAGGAGCACGAAGGUUGGCUAAUCCUGGUCGGACAUCAGGAGGUUAGUGCAAUGGCAUAAGCCAGCUUGACUGCGAGCGUGACGGCGCGAGCAGGUGCGAAAGCAGGUCAUAGUGAUCCGGUGGUUCUGAAUGGAAGGGCCAUCGCUCAACGGAUAAAAGGUACUCCGGGGAUAACAGGCUGAUACCGCCCAAGAGUUCAUAUCGACGGCGGUGUUUGGCACCUCGAUGUCGGCUCAUCACAUCCUGGGGCUGAAGUAGGUCCCAAGGGUAUGGCUGUUCGCCAUUUAAAGUGGUACGCGAGCUGGGUUUAGAACGUCGUGAGACAGUUCGGUCCCUAUCUGCCGUGGGCGCUGGAGAACUGAGGGGGGCUGCUCCUAGUACGAGAGGACCGGAGUGGACGCAUCACUGGUGUUCGGGUUGUCAUGCCAAUGGCACUGCCCGGUAGCUAAAUGCGGAAGAGAUAAGUGCUGAAAGCAUCUAAGCACGAAACUUGCCCCGAGAUGAGUUCUCCCUGACUCCUUGAGAGUCCUGAAGGAACGUUGAAGACGACGACGUUGAUAGGCCGGGUGUGUAAGCGCAGCGAUGCGUUGAGCUAACCGGUACUAAUGAACCGUGAGGCUUAACCU